UGUAUGCUUGUGCAUGUGUGUGUAUUGAUAAAUGUGGUAUACUAUUAAAAAUACAACUCUGAAAGGAAAAAAAAAAUUUUUCUCCAUCGAUUUGAUUCUGCUGAGUAUUGGAUAUUUGAUGUUAGAUGCUGUUGCAACGCUAAACUUUUCAACUAUUAAUUUUUCAGGAUAUUCAAAACAUUUUCAAUAUAUGCAAGUUGAGAGUUUCAAAAAAAAGUUAUAUUCCAAUUUGCUGAAAUUAACAACAUUUUAGUAGAUAUAACUGCACAGUUAUAUCUACUAAAAUGUUCUCUAAUGAUCCAGAAGAAGGUUUUAAACAACGUAAACUUUUAGAUGAACUUAAUGUUUUGAAAAGAAAAAUUGCAAAUAUAGAUAUCCAAUACAUCGCUUUUGUAUACGUAAAACAGUUAUCAUUAAUUAGCGGUAAAAAAUUGAGUAGAUACAAUUAAAAAUAUUUUGCUCUUACUACCAACAGACACUAUUUUGUCAGAAUACAGCAUGAAUUGUCUAAAGAAGAAAAAAAAGUUUAAAGAAUUGACAAGUCUAUGUAAUGCUGAAACUGCUUUAAAGUCAAAUAAAAACAAGAUGGAUGCCACCCAUCCAACUUAUUGGGAGAGUAAUUGGGAAUUCUUCUGACCGAUUAAAGAAAACAUCCACUAAUAUGAAUAUCGAUCAAUGAUCUGCUUAAUUAGCUGUUGUAUUUUUUAUUUAUUUUCCAUUUUUCAGCAAUUUUCUUCUAUUUAUAAUGCACUAUCGAUUAUAUUCUACAGUACCUAAUAGUUUUUAAAAUGGAAAGGGUAAUUUUAUUUGAAAAAUUAUUCUUAUUUUUUGUAAAGUAAUUAAUUUAUUUUAAAUAUAUCAAAUUACACUUUAUUUACUUAGAUUUCUUUUUAUAACUUCCCUUGCCUAAAUUAAGGAAAAUCUAAGGUGUGUGUUGUAAUUCAUUGCAUUUUUAUAUAACUUUUAAAAGAAUGUCUUGGUAAUAUUCAGACGUCUCUAGGACGUCUGAAUAAGAUGUCCUUAAGUCAUUCAUAUGACACCAGUCAGAGACAUCUCUAAGACAUCUGCAAAAAAUGUCUUU
Long non-coding RNA from Hydra vulgaris (swiftwater hydra), 1081 nucleotides. RefSeq lists it as uncharacterized. Lineage: Eukaryota; Metazoa; Cnidaria; Hydrozoa; Anthoathecata; Hydridae. The record is from RefSeq and is a predicted model, not a curated record.